RNAcentral lists this long non-coding RNA (544 nucleotides) under Bos mutus (wild yak). RNAcentral describes it as "lncRNA (ENSBMUG00000016897.1)". The record is from RNAcentral. Lineage: Eukaryota; Metazoa; Chordata; Mammalia; Artiodactyla; Bovidae.
UGGGCACGGUUCCUUUAAAUAAGAAACAUUUUUCUGUUCAAGUGAGUCACCUCGGUUUUCCAGCUUUCAAAAUCAAGUUUAUUUUCUAGUUCUUUCUGUUCAGGAAUUUUCUUUCUCUCUUCCUGAAGACCAGAGUUUGCCCUUCUACUGGAAGGCAAUGGUUUCACAGGUUCUCUUUCUUUUAUCUCAAGAUUUUUUUAAGCCCUGCUGAAUUUGGUAGCAAAUUCUGAACAUAGAGAGGAGAGAACCAGGAAGUGAGUCUUCCAGGGGCAGGCAUAAAAGCCUGGUGGAGGCAUCGAAAGUAAAAGUAAACUUCUUCCUGGAGGCGUUUCCAACCCCACUUCUUGUCUCCCCCUCCCGCUUGUCUCAUUUCCAGGGAUUUUUCUCCAGCUUGGUUGUAAGAACCAGCCUCAGCAAUCCGACGUGUGAAGUUAGGCAGUGUGGGGUCUUGUCGUUGGGAGUUUGGUGGCUGGGAUGUUGCCAGGACUGUGUGGAGCAGGUUCCAGUCCAUGGUGAGGGCCCUGGGAUUUUAUUUUUCCUUUGA